This 349-nucleotide ribosomal RNA is filed under the name Acinetobacter baumannii OIFC032. Its description in RNAcentral is "bacterial SSU rRNA". It matches the Rfam family "Bacterial small subunit ribosomal RNA", at positions 1134 to 1482 of the family's 1533-position model. Lineage: Bacteria; Pseudomonadati; Pseudomonadota; Gammaproteobacteria; Moraxellales; Moraxellaceae. The record is from RNAcentral.
GGAACUUUAAGGAUACUGCCAGUGACAAACUGGAGGAAGGCGGGGACGACGUCAAGUCAUCAUGGCCCUUACGGCCAGGGCUACACACGUGCUACAAUGGUCGGUACAAAGGGUUGCUACACAGCGAUGUGAUGCUAAUCUCAAAAAGCCGAUCGUAGUCCGGAUUGGAGUCUGCAACUCGACUCCAUGAAGUCGGAAUCGCUAGUAAUCGCGGAUCAGAAUGCCGCGGUGAAUACGUUCCCGGGCCUUGUACACACCGCCCGUCACACCAUGGGAGUUUGUUGCACCAGAAGUAGCUAGCCUAACUGCAAAGAGGGCGGUUACCACGGUGUGGCCGAUGACUGGGGUG